Molecule: ribosomal RNA, 506 nt
Filed under: uncultured bacterium
Lineage: Bacteria
Description: partial 16S ribosomal RNA
Rfam family: Bacterial small subunit ribosomal RNA
Source: RNAcentral
AUUGAACGCUGGCGGCAGGCCCAACACAUGCAAGUCGGACGGUAGCACAGAGGAGCUUGCUCUUCGGGUGACGAGUGGCGGACGGGUGAGUAAUGUCUGGGGAUCUGCCCGAUAGAGGGGGAUAACCACUGGAAACGGUGGCUAAUACCGCAUAACGUCGCAAGACCAAAGAGGGGGACCUUCGGGCCUCUCACUAUCGGAUGAACCCAGAUGGGAUUAGCUAGUAGGCGGGGUAACGGCCCACCUAGUCGACGAUCCCUAGCUGGUCUGGGAGGAUGACCAGCCACACGGGAACUGAGACACGGGCCAGCCUCCUACGGGAGGCAGCAGUGGGGAAUAUUGCACAAUGGGAGCAAGCCUGAUGCAGCCAUGCCGGGUGUAUGAAGAAGGCCUUCGGGUUGUAAAGUACUUUCAGCGGGGAGGAAGGCGAUGUGGUUAAUAACCGCGUCGAUUGACGUUACCCGCAGAAGAAGCACCGGCUAACUCCGUGCCAGCCGCCGCCGUAA